UUUUCAGUUGAUUUCAUUCAUUUCAUUUUCCUUCUUUACUAUUUUCUUCUUUUGUUUGUUUUACCCCUACACGAGGUAGAGAAGCUGAUUCCGAUUUGUAUAAUACAGGUUGGCCCACUUUCUAAAAUUUGGAAAUUAAUUCCAUGCCUUGAAAAGGGAAGGAAUUCGUUUCCUUUCUUGAGGAAAAGUUCAACUAUUCAAAGUGUCUUAUAUUUGUAUUUAAUUGCAAAGAGCUUCGCUGCCAAAACUGCCAGGAACUGUCAAAAAGAUAAUGCGUCUAUAUCAGCGAGAGUGUCUAGCACGGCCGCCGUGACACAGUUAACCAUGUUAUAAGAUGCAAAGAGUGCAAGAAAUAUGGGACAGUGACGUUGAUUCCGGGAUAUGGGAGGCCGUUCACAGCAAAGGACUCAGAGAGCGGAGCUUAUGCUCCACUCUUGCUCUUCGACUGCGAUGAGAUGGCUCCUGAAGGAUACGAGUUCAAUGGCGGCUGGAAACUUACUACUGACUUGGGUGUGGUGAUCGA
Molecule: non-coding RNA, 523 nt
Organism: Nicotiana tabacum (common tobacco)
Lineage: Eukaryota; Viridiplantae; Streptophyta; Magnoliopsida; Solanales; Solanaceae
Source: RefSeq, a predicted model, not a curated record